RNAcentral lists this ribosomal RNA (42 nucleotides) under uncultured Tomentella. RNAcentral describes it as "partial 28S ribosomal RNA". Lineage: Eukaryota; Fungi; Basidiomycota; Agaricomycetes; Thelephorales; Thelephoraceae. The record is from RNAcentral.
UUCGAUCUCAAAUCAGGUAGGACUACCCGCUGAACUUAAGCA